This 103-nucleotide ribosomal RNA is filed under the name Heyndrickxia coagulans. RNAcentral describes it as "Bacillus coagulans partial 23S ribosomal RNA". It matches the Rfam family "Bacterial large subunit ribosomal RNA", at positions 2825 to 2925 of the family's 2925-position model. Lineage: Bacteria; Bacillati; Bacillota; Bacilli; Caryophanales; Bacillaceae. The record is from RNAcentral.
CUGGUAAGAUCCCUGAAAGAUGAUCAGGUUGAUAGGUCCGGGGUGGAAGCGCGGCGACGCGUGGAGCUGACGGAUACUAAUCGAUCGAGGACUUAACCAAAUA